This 99-nucleotide ribosomal RNA is filed under the name uncultured bacterium. Its description in RNAcentral is "partial 16S ribosomal RNA". It matches the Rfam family "Bacterial small subunit ribosomal RNA", at positions 1384 to 1482 of the family's 1533-position model. The record is from RNAcentral.
UACACACCGCCCGUCACAUCACGAAAGUGGGUUGUACUAGAAGUCCCCAGGCUAACCGCAAGGAGGCAGGGGCCCAAGGUAUGACUCAUGAUUGGGGUG